GACGAACGCUGGCGGCGUGCUUAACACAUGCAAGUCGUACGGUAAGGCCCUUUCGGGGGUACACGAGUGGCGAACGGGUGAGUAACACGUGAGUAACCUGCCCACAACUUUGGGAUAACGCUAGGAAACUGGUGCUAAUACUGGAUAUGUGCUCCUGCUGCAUGGUGGGGGUUGGAAAGCUCCGGCGGUUGUGGAUGGACUCGCGGCCUAUCAGCUUGUUGGUGGGGUAGUGGCCUACCAAGGCGGCGACGGGUAGCCGGCCUGAGAGGGUGACCGGCCACAUUGGGACUGAGGUGCGGCCCAGACUCCUACGGGAGGCAGCAGUGGGGAAUAUUGCACAAUGGGCGCAAGCCUGAUGCAGCAACGCCGCGUGCGGGAUGACGGCCUUCGGGUUGUAAACCGCUUUCAGCAGGGACGAAGCUUUUUGUGACGGUACCUGCAGAAGAAGCACCGGCUAACUACGUG
Molecule: ribosomal RNA, 465 nt
Filed under: uncultured bacterium
Lineage: Bacteria
Description: partial 16S ribosomal RNA
Rfam family: Bacterial small subunit ribosomal RNA
Source: RNAcentral